RNAcentral lists this ribosomal RNA (498 nucleotides) under uncultured bacterium. RNAcentral's name for it is "partial 16S ribosomal RNA". It matches the Rfam family "Bacterial small subunit ribosomal RNA", at positions 28 to 507 of the family's 1533-position model. The record is from RNAcentral.
GACGAACGCUGGCGGCGUGCCUAAUACAUGCAAGUCGAGCGGACGAUUCGAAAGCUUGCUUUUGAAUCGUUAGCGGCGGACGGGUGAGUAACACGUGGGCAACCUGCCCUGUAGGCGGGGAUAACACCGAGAAAUCGGUGCUAAUACCGGAUAACACGAAAUGUCGCAUGACGUUUCGUUGAAAGGCGGCGCAAGCUGCCGCUACAGGAUGGGCCCGCGGCGCAUUAGCUAGUUGGUGAGGUAACGGCUCACCAAGGCGACGAUGCGUAGCCGACCUGAGAGGGUGAUCGGCCACACUGGGACUGAGACACGGCCCAGACUCCUACGGGAGGCAGCAGUAGGGAAUCUUCCGCAAUGGACGAAAGUCUGACGGAGCAACGCCGCGUGAGCGAAGAAGGCCUUCGGGUCGUAAAGCUCUGUUGUUAGGGAAGAACAAGUAACGUAGUAACUGACGUUACUAUGACGGUACCUAACGAGAAAGCCACGGCUAACUACGUG